RNAcentral lists this long non-coding RNA (3594 nucleotides) under Gallus gallus (chicken). RNAcentral's name for it is "lncRNA (ENSGALG00010008848.1)". The record is from RNAcentral. Lineage: Eukaryota; Metazoa; Chordata; Aves; Galliformes; Phasianidae.
CGAAGACAAGUCGUACCUUCUGCUUUCUUUACACUGCGAACCCCGGUUUCCUCACGAGCCUACAGCGAGGCUGACCGCUUUGAAGAGGCGGGAGAGAUGGGAGAAAGUUGCCUCGAUCUCUCCGGAUAAAGUUGCCGAAGAUGAGCUAAUCCGGGAGAGAUGCGGAGUUCACCCGAGUUUCUCCUUUUGUUCAAGUUGCCCGAGCAGACAAAGAGCCGCCGGCGGCGGCAGGUCCCCGCUCCCCCACUCCACCCCCCCUCCCGGCUGGGUCCCGCCGUGCCCUCUCCCCUCAUCGCCCCAUGGCCCCCCCAACUUUCCACCUCCUCCAUCCCUCCUCGGCCCUGGCGCAAAACUUCCCUCACACUGAACCUCCUGGAAGAAAGAAAAAAAAAAAAAAAGGAAAAAAAAAUUCAAGGCUGGUUGAGGGGUGGAAAGGGAGAGCAACAUCUCUCAAAUCAUUAUUUCCGGUAGAUGCACCUCUUUGUUUGGAUUCCCCCGACUGUCAGUGAGGACAGCCUCUGGGUAUCGGUUAGUCGAAGCGCGCAGAAUGAGACGGGCAAACGCGGGCCGUAAAGGAAAACAAGUUUGGGAGAAGAAAAAGGAAAGAAAGAAAAAAAAUAAAAAAAAAAAAAGGGAGAGAAGAAAGAAAACCUCCGGAGUUGCGAAACGAACCCUUUAUACAUGGACACGGGAAGUACAUAAAUAAACAACUGGAGGGGAAUUUGGGAAGACUGUUGCAUCUCCUCCCCCCUCCCCUUCGUACAUUUGCCGAGAAAAGAGCCAAGGAGCCCCCCAAAGCCCCGUGCCGCGGCCGGCCUCUGGCAUCCCUACCUGUUGCGUAAAGCGCGAAGCAGGGGCCGACAGCAUCCGUCCCGAAGAAACCGAAGGAUAAGGACCCGCGCCCCCUCACCUGCCCCCGGACGCCCCCACGGGGAUAGGAGCAAGACUCCAGAGCAAAGCUGUUCCUGACCCUAGGCAUCCCUACACCAGCAAGACCUUGUGCCCUGUGUCAGAUCUUCUGGGAGAGCCGGACUGCAUGGACUCAGGGCUGCAGCCUUUAAGAGGAAGAAGAUGGAUGACAGACUUCUCCCUGCUACCCCACCAGAGGCCAUGCAAGUGGAAAGAACCUUCCCCUAGCCCCAGGCUGACAGAGCUAUCAGAGGGAAUCUUUGCAAAUUCAGCACAUACCAAACAAUGGGGAUUUUCCUCUGUGUGAUGAGACAUACUCCUGAUCACAGCCCUGGCAAGUCAGUUCCAUUCUGCUGCUUUCAUUCUGGCCAGCUGGUAUCAGCCUCCUGCAUCUCCAAGUCUUAUGAGUUUGACCCUUUUCCUGUGGAAUUAGGUAUGACAAAAAUACCUGUCAUUGUGAAGGACAACAGAAUAUAACUUGUUUUUGCGAGAAAUACCAGGGUCACUCUAAGCUCAGAAAUACUGUGGCAGCUCCAGUAAAACCAGCAAAGUAAAUAUAGACACAAGAUAAACUAUCUGGUCUUCCCUUUGCCUGUGACCUCUAUUACUUUCCCUGUUUCUCUGACUAUAACCUCACCAUUACAGGGAAAGUGUGGAGAAAUCACCAGAAACCCCCACCAGGGGAGAGAUAUGGAGCUUUUGGAAAGAGUCCAGAAGAAGGCCAUGAAGAUGAUCCAAGGGCUCCGGCAUGAAGAUCUAUGAAGAUAGGCUGAAGAGACUGAGCUUGUUCAGCCUGGAAAAGAGGAGGCUAUGGGAAAACCUCAUUGCAGCCUUCCCAUAUUUAAAGGGAGAUUGAAACAGGAGGAAAAACUACUUUUUACACAAGUAGUUUGUUAUAGAAUGAAGGGGAAUGGUUUUAAACUAAAGGAAGAGAGGCUUACAGUGGAUGUCAGGGAGAAGUUUUUACUGGGAGAGUGGUGAGGUGCUGGGACAGGCUUCCCAGAGAGGUUGUGGAUGCCCCAUUGCUGGAGGUAUUUAAGGCCAGGUUGGAUGGGGCCCUGGGCAAUCUGAUCUCAUGCUUAAUUUAGCAGCUGGCAACCCUGCCUGUAGCAGUGGGGUUGGAACUUGAUGAUCCUUGAGGUCCCUUCCAACCUAGGCCAUUCUAUGAUUCUAAACAUGAAGAGAGCUAAAUAUUCUCUAGAUAAAAGAAAGGCAGAGAAGGAAUGACUAUCUGAAGGGCAGUCCCAUGUGCAGAAGCUGGGAAUGGAUACCCACAGGGCCCAGACAUGGGGUCACCAACCUCAAGGUUGCUGCCAUGUCAGGACCUGCGUGGGCAGCUGGCCAAUGCGAUACAGGAGGUUCCUCCACUUCCUUUCUUUGGUCACCAACCUGCCAUGAGGUUUGAAUGGCUUCUGUCUAUCUCUAAUGGGGACCUGGAGGAAAGACAUUCAUCCUAUCACAAGCCUCCUGAGCCAUCUCAACUCCAACACAGCAGUUUUUUAAAAAUUCUUAAGCUUACUUCACACAGAUAUAAAUAAUUAUACAGACAAUACAAGUCAAAGAAGAGUCAGGCACUAAAUACUGAUAGAAAGCCUUAUUCCUCCUUUCUUCAGUGAAAACUCUAGAUCUCUGUUCUGCAUUAUUCAUUCAGUAAUCCACCUCUGUGAUACACAUGUAAGAGCUGUUUCAACAAUUUAUGAGCUUUAGUGAUGGCUGAAUAAUCACAUUUUAUAGUCUGAUACAGAUAUCAGAAACACCUGAUACAGAUACAAAAAAGAUUGUGGUAGGUUAUUUCAUGAAAGGCUAAUGCAUCAAAAAGUCCAAGUUGGAAGGCAUUGGAAGGACUUAAGGGAAAUUCUUUCUGCUCUUACAUUAUCUAUCAUUACAUCAGUAACACAGUCCUUGAGGUUUGCAAUUGCCCAGCUCCAGACACUUUAAUAAAGAAAUACAUAAAAUCAAUGCAACUCAUUUUCUCCCAUCUUCAUUUAAAAAUAAAAAAUUGAAAUCUCUGUUCCAGAAACAAAUAAAUAAAUAAAUCUGCUAAUGCAGAAUAUGAAUUACAGAGCAACUUUUAAAAAACUGUACAUGAAAAGUCAAGGUCAUUUUGUAUAAUCACACAAAUGAACAAAUAGCUGUGGUAAACUGAAAUUCCUGGAAAUCAUGUAAAUAACCGGCCAUAAUCAGAGGCUGCAGAGCAAUUAUUAAUCUACUGAUGCUGACCUACCAGACACCCUAAGUUCACCAGACUAUUUUUAACCUAUUUUAGUUACAGAAUGUAUCUAGAACUAUCCUUUGCUUCUUACAUUUCUUUCUGUAAAUUGCAUAGGCAAUAUCCAUUGUAUAUCCUGUAGUACAAAUCAAAUUAUUAUCCUAACAAGCUCUUCUGGGAAAUAUAAAAAUUCUGAAGCUAAAAAUCUGUAUGAAAGUAGAUACUUCCAUUGCUUUAUCAUUAAUCAAAAGAUAUACUAAUGUUCUAAUGGCACAACUAUUUAAACAUUCAAAAGUACAAAAAUGUACUUGCUUAAAAUAUCUGAUAAGAAAACAUCCUUAAAAGUGAUCACAGCUAAAAUUGCUUUUCUAGAUACAAAUGGAACACACUUUACAUCAGACUAAACACUCAGAAGACAGGUAGUGAAUUGGAGACUACGUAGAUGCUUAGCCAGGCCUGUGUCAAUCUCCAUCCAU